GACGAACGCUGGCGGCGUGCUUAACACAUGCAAGUCGAACGGAAAGGCCCUGCUUUUGUGGGGUGCUCGAGUGGCGAAAGGGUGAGUAACACGUGAGUAACCUGCCCUUGACUUUGGGAUAACUUCAGGAAACUGGGGCUAAUACCGGAUAGGAGCUCCUGCUGCAUGGUGGGGGUUGGAAAGUUUCGGCGGUUGGGGAUGGACUCGCGGCUUAUCAGCUUGUUGGUGGGGUAGUGGCUUACCAAGGCUUUGACGGGUAGCCGGCCUGAGAGGGUGACCGGCCACAUUGGGACUGAGAUACGGCCCAGACUCCUACGGGAGACAGCAGUGGAGAAUAUUGCACAAUGGGCGGAAGCCUGAUGCAGCAACGCCGCGUGCGGGAUGACGGCCUUCGGGUUGUAAACCGCUUUCGCCUGUGACGAAGCGUGAGUGACGGUAAUGGGUAAAGAAGCACCGGCUAACUACGUG
RNAcentral lists this ribosomal RNA (468 nucleotides) under uncultured bacterium. RNAcentral describes it as "partial 16S ribosomal RNA". It matches the Rfam family "Bacterial small subunit ribosomal RNA", at positions 28 to 507 of the family's 1533-position model. The record is from RNAcentral.